This 254-nucleotide ribosomal RNA is filed under the name uncultured bacterium. RNAcentral describes it as "partial 16S ribosomal RNA". It matches the Rfam family "Bacterial small subunit ribosomal RNA", at positions 524 to 777 of the family's 1533-position model. The record is from RNAcentral.
UACGAAGGGGGCUAGCGUUGCUCGGAAUCACUGGGCGUAAAGGGUGCGUAGGCGGGUCUUUAAGUCAGGGGUGAAAUCCUGGAGCUCAACUCUGGAACUGCCUUUGAUACUGGGUAUCUUGAGUAUGGAAGAGGUAAGUGGAAUUGCGAGUGUAGAGGUGAAAUUCGUAGAUAUUCGCAAGAACACCAGUGGCGAAGGCGGCUCACUGGCCCGAUACUGACGCUGAGGUGCGAAAGCGUGGGGAGCAAACAGGG